RNAcentral lists this ribosomal RNA (555 nucleotides) under uncultured bacterium. Its description in RNAcentral is "bacterial SSU rRNA". It matches the Rfam family "Bacterial small subunit ribosomal RNA", at positions 29 to 610 of the family's 1533-position model. The record is from RNAcentral.
AAGAACGCUGGCGGCAUGCCUAACACAUGCAAGUCGGACGCUCAUAAGGGUUUCGGCCCUUGUGGGAGUGGCGGACGGGUGAGUAGCGCGUGGGAACCUGCCUUGGAGUGGGGGAUAACCGAGGGAAACUUCGGCUAAUACCGCAUGCGCCCCGGCGCGAGCCGGGGGAAAGAUUGAUCGCUCCAAGAGGGGCCCGCGUCGGAUUAGGUAGUUGGUGGGGUAACGGCCUACCAAGCCGUUGAUCCGUAGCUGGUCUGAGAGGAUGAUCAGCCACACUGGGACUGAGACACGGCCCAGACUCCUACGGGAGGCAGCAGUGGGGAAUAUUGGACAAUGGGCGCAAGCCUGAUCCAGCAAUGCCGCGUGAGUGAUGAAGGCCUUAGGGUUGUAAAGCUCUUUCGGCGGGGACGAUGAUGACGGUACCCGCAGAAGAAGCCCCGGCUAACUUCGUGCCAGCAGCCGCGGUAAUACGAAGGGGGCGAGCGUUGUUCGGAUUUACUGGGCGUAAAGGGCGCGUANGCGGCGGACCUUGUCGAGUGUGAAAGCCCCGGGCUC